Long non-coding RNA from Megalobrama amblycephala (Wuchang bream), 1596 nucleotides. RefSeq lists it as uncharacterized. The transcript has 8 exons. Lineage: Eukaryota; Metazoa; Chordata; Actinopteri; Cypriniformes; Xenocyprididae. The record is from RefSeq and is a predicted model, not a curated record.
ACAGAAGACUACCUCCACUUGCGUGCAGAGAAGUUUACGCAGAAUAUACUAUCAACGUUUGAUCUUUUACCAACGGAACAACGUUGUUAUUAGCAGCCGUUCCACAUCACAAUGCUUUGUUUUUUUAUGUUAACAUGCGCUAAACGGACGUGUUUGACCGUCUCUUUGCAGUGUCUCGGGCAUGGCGUAUUCUAAAAACGCGGCGUUCAAGUUAACUUUUAAAAACUUUCACGUUUUUUUUUUUUUUCGGUUUUUUUUUUUUUUUUUUGCAUUCUCUUGAGAUGCGUUUCCAUUGCUCCUUCAAUGGAAAAAAUUGCUAAACAUACAGUAUGUGUUUGACCGUUGCGUUUGCAUCUUUUUGCUCGUGCAUAAACGCAACAAAAUCUUGUUCAGUGAAGAUGAUCCCUAACAUUUGUAAAUGCAAAGUGAACUGAGAUAAGAUUAACUUAUUGGAUGACUUAAUAAGCUUCUCAUAGGACAUAGGUGGACAAAGUGGACAUGACCAUGAUGUGUUGUGAAUACAGCUCUUUAGAAGUUUGCUGUUUAUAUACAAAUAUUAAUCUACUGCUAGUAUAACUGUUCUGUACCAAUACAAACAUUUAUUUUAAACAAACUUUUGGUUAUUUUUUUCCUUUCUGUAGAUGAGAAAGCUGCAGAGAGAUGGAGCAAAUCAUACUCAUCACAUGCUACUAUUCUGGUUUAGAUGAUGGACUUUGGCUGCACUGACCAUUUCAUGAAAUCCCACUAUAAGACAUUCACAGAAAAAAGCUGUAGAGAUCCAAACUCCCACAUCGGACAAAAAAACAUUUCCGUUGCCACUGAUCCACUCUGAUUAUAAAGGUAAGUAAGUAUCAUAGACAAUCAGCAGAAGUGUGGAUCAGUGUGCAACAACAAGGACUCUGGGAGAGACACUGAGGAUGAUGGGAAUGACUCUUAAUCAUUUGACCUCUGAUCCAAAGAUCAGAAAGUUGAGGAGAAAAAAAUAACAACAUCCUGACUGUGAGAGCAUUACUUGCUUCUAUUUUGUUUUCCCAUAGAAGGUUUAGAUGAUGGACUUUGGCUGCACUGACCAUUUCAUGAAAUCCCACUAUGAGACACUCACAGAAAAAAAUCUAUAAAGAUCCAAACUCCCACAUCGGACAAAACAUUUCCGUAGCCACUGAUCCACACUGAUUAUAAAGGUAAGCAUCAUUAGGCUUGUUCGAGAUGCAUCAGCACUGCAAAGACCGAUCGGCGUAUGACGUCAAAGUAACACGUGAGCGAUUCAAACACCUAAGGAGUCAUAUGCUCUCCAAACGCUCUCGCGGUACUUUGAUGUCAUACGCCGAUUGGUCUGCGAAGCGCCGAUGCAUCUCGAACAAGCUUAUAGACAGUUAGCAAAAGUGUGCAUCAGUGUGCAACAACGUGGACUCUGGGAGCGACACUGAGGAUGAUGGGAAUGACUCUUAAUCAUUUGACCUCUGAUCCAAAGAAAAAAAUCUAUAGAGAUCCAAACUCCCACAUCGGACAAAACAUUUCCGUAGCCAAUCCACACUGAUUAUAAAGGGCAGCCAGUAUUAACGUCUUGAUCUGUGCACAGCUGAAUCAUCAGACUGG